Molecule: long non-coding RNA, 1079 nt
Organism: Vigna radiata var. radiata (mung bean)
Lineage: Eukaryota; Viridiplantae; Streptophyta; Magnoliopsida; Fabales; Fabaceae
Exons: 2
Source: RefSeq, a predicted model, not a curated record
UAUUUUUUUUAAAACUUUGAACCAUGAGUUUUUAUUUGUUACUUUAAUUUUUUGUAAAUUAAAUCAUUUGAACGAUUAAAGUUCAAAACUUAUGUACUAGAUUUCUUAGUUAGUUCUUAACCCAACAUAUGAAACUAAAUUCUUCUGUGCAAAUAAAUAAUUGGGUUGUUGAGGGUUAGACUUUUGAAAGAAUAAAAUUUCUAAUUUAAUGUAUGUAUAAUUAAUGGCAUUAUAUUGGGACGAGAUUGUUUUGUGAUUAAGUUAUAUUAAGAAGUGAGCUUAAAAAUUUACAUAUUGGUUGUAAUUUUUUAAUAAGGAUUAAAUAUGUUUUUCGUUUAUUAAGUAUUACACGAUUUUGGUUUUAGUCUCUACUCGAAACUUUGACGACUUUUAGUUCUCAUAAUUUUGAAACUCUUACUAUUGGUCUUUAACAUAGGACGUUAACUUUUGUUAGAUGUGGCAAAUGGGAGGCCACGUCCUAUACCAGCUUCCCUCUUCACUUGCUGUCAUAUUGAUUGUUUAAGUUUUGAAAUGAGAUUGAGUAUGUUAAGUGUGUGCAUUUUAAGAAGUUGGGUUCUUCUUCGCCAAUGUAGUUGGGGGCAAAGAAAGUUGGGGAGGUACAUCUAAAGGUUGGAGUUCGUCUUCUUGAGGAGGUAAAUUGAUAUGUUUUGUUUUUCUAUUCUUCGUGUGAAUAUAAGGAUUGAGGAUAUAGGAUUGGGUGGACACGAAAGCUGAUGAAGGGAUUUCUUUGUUGUAGUGAAAUGAAAGGUGACAGUGGAGGAAAUGAUUGGAUGUAAAGGUCAAUUGGUUCGAGAAAGUCGCAAAGUUGUGGAUCAUCUUCAUGGUUACCAUCUAAAUUGUGUGGUUGUGGUGAAACAUUGUUACUUUUGAAGGCAACUAUUGUGACGAACAAAGGAAGACUGUUUUAUAGAUAGUAAUUCAAGUUGUAAUUACUUUGAAUGGCAUGAUGAAGGAGUUUCUGAAAUUGAAGGAAGCUUUGAAAAAAAACAUGAAGAACUUGAAAUGUGUUUGGAAAAUGAAAAACUUGUACUGGAUCUAAGGAAGAAGAACGACAAGCU